CUUGCUCCGUUCAGGCGUUGCCUUUAUCGAUAACGCGUGCACUUUCGACGAAACGAGACCGCGUGGAUAUCAGCACGGACCCUACUCUAGCGACAGAUUGAACGCGACUGAACGCAGACGACGCUACGACACGACGUCACGACACAGACAAGACAUGGGUCCCGAUCGAGGGGAGGCACGAGCGGAGGGUUUAAGGUCGGAAGAUUCGUGCGGCUGGUCGAAGAGCAAACGGAGGCCGAGCGCGAUGGACCCCAACCACGAAUAGGUCGACCCGAGAGCAGCGGGUGGAAGGGAAGCGGUGGAGUGCAGAUAAAGAGCAGACGUUGAACGGAGGGAGAGUCGUAGGACAAAAACAGAUAGAGCGAUUUUUGAAUUGAGGCUCGAUGGAGAAACGAUAAGGGAAUGUUUGGGAAUAAUCCAUUUUUCUGGGUGAAGAUAAGGCCUUGAAUUAGGGGAGUUCGGAUGAUAACGAUAAUGGAAACGUUAAAGCCCAUCCUGCAAGGCGUAUGGAUGAUUCGUAACAGCGUAAUUCCCAUCGUGCAAUUAUUAUUGAGCAAAGUAAGCGGAAUGUAGUAUGGAGAACAGGAAUUUGAGAACCAUUGAAGUGAACCCUUGUUCAGUAGAAAUAGUAAUUAUUUAAAUAAACAGGAAAUCUCUUUCAUUAUUUAUUAUAAAUAAUAGAUUAACAAUACACAACCCUUUCAUGUUCUUUUUUCUACUUCAUGUAUAUGUGUAAUGCAUCAUAAUAUAUGUAUAAUAUUACAUGACCUAUAAUAUGCAAUUUAUAAGAAAUAACAGGUACAGUACAAAUCUCCAAUUAAUAAUUAUGGAAUUUUACUAUACAUACAAACAAAUUAAUACAAACCUCUUAACUGCGAUGCAUGACUUAUCGAAUUAUUAAUACAAAUUGUAAUUUAACACUAUGGAUAAAUAUUAUGGAAAGCGAUAUAUAAUUAUGUUAACGCGAUGAAUACUCUAUAGCAUUGUAAAAUAAGUAUACACGUAAUUCAACAAUCAUAACUACAAUAUGCAGUACGUGAUAAUUAUUAACAAGCAUUUCUAACCUUAAAAUAUAUAAUCUUACGAAAUUUUAUAUAAAAAUACG
Long non-coding RNA from Ceratina calcarata, 1105 nucleotides. RefSeq lists it as uncharacterized. The record is from RefSeq and is a predicted model, not a curated record. Lineage: Eukaryota; Metazoa; Arthropoda; Insecta; Hymenoptera; Apidae. The transcript is spliced from 3 exons.